CCACGUUGAAAUCCUCCAUCGCUCCAUUCCUCGUCAUCAAAUCAUGUCGCAUAGCAUUACAUCUUGUCAUUGCUUCCUGUUUUUUUCACACUUACUCAAACGAACCGCACUAACAGAGCAAUCACACCAAGAAGACCACCUCUGUGACAGAAGCGCUUUGACCACCCCUGACCCAGCCUCUCCCCUGUGGCGGUCUUGCAGCCUUCUCUGCAGGUCAUCCUCUCCUCUGAAGACCAUCUGUGAAGCAUCUCCCUCCAUUCAUUACAACUGUCCUGGGAGGCUUGUUUUUUUUUUUUUAGAUGCUUCUCCUUGUUUUGUUUCCUCUCACCCUUGUUGGAAUGGGAUCAUGGGACACAACAUAUUGAAGGUCCAAGUCUCUUUCUUUACAGAGCUCUCAUAUGUCUUCACCUACCAGAUGCUGGCAUCUCAGAGAGAUGGAAUGACCCUGACACUAUUGUAGACUCAGACGUUAGCAAAAACCCGAUCGAUUCAGCCUGUUUUCCUGGCGUACCUGUACCAAAGCAUGGGAUUUGUAAGUCAUAAAGGGAUAUAGGAGAGGGCAUCGGAAGAGACCGAGACACAACAGCAUUGAGUAUACUUCUCUGGAAUGCCCUAGGUUAUCAGACUCAUUAAUCUACAUGUCAUGGGCUGUGGAUGAAUAAUUGUUCAUGGAAUUUAUCAGCCAAUGUGAUGCGGAGUUGCUCAUCGUCUUUCCCCUGCGCCUGCAUCCCACGCUUUGUGCUUGGCCCUUUAAUUAUUGUAUGCUUUGUCUUUGCUGUCCCUGGUCUUCAGGGGAAACAAAGGCUGAAAUAUGCUAUUCCUGCAUUUAGAAGGUCACUGUAUCCUAAGUGUGACUCUGAUGUUGAAUAGAUAAAUAAUAAUAAUAAUAAUAAAUAUAAAUUAAGAUGCACAUUUAGAUGAAAUUGCUGGAUAAGAAAACAUCUUUAUUAUUAUUUAAUUAUUUAUUUGCUUUAAUAACCUUUAUUUGCGAAGUGCAUUAUAGAGUGGUUAGAAAACAAAGUGAGAGAGAAGGAAGAUGGGAUUGGAAAGGACCACCAGCCGGCAUUUGAACUUUAGUCACCCGAAAUGCAACAGCAUUAUUUGUCGGAGUGCUGCUCAAAAGGUUAUCGGUUACCAAACUUAAUUUGGAAUACCUCUAAUAAGUUAACAACAAUGUUAAGUGUAAUAUUUAGUAAAUGACAAUUUUUGUCAAUGCAUAAAUUCACAUUUGGCAUUUAAAAUGACUGACUUUAUUUUUAAUUUUCAAGACAUUAUAAGGGAAACAAUCAAUUUAGCUAAAAGGGAAUCAUUUAAGAUUUUAAAGGGAAUUUAAACCGAAUCACUGUUCAAGGGCUGACGGCUAGCGAUUCAUUGAAUGAGCCGUAUAAAAUCAACUCUGCAAAUUAUAUUAAUAUCCAAAGUAUAGUGAAAGCACUAUUAAUUUGCAUAGUAACAAGAUCGGCGGUUUAAGACAUUAACUUGUAAGCACAAAACACAAGAUACUUCUCUUUUCAAUGCGAAUAAGGCUUUAUUAGAUAAAUCUAAGACAUAUAAACUUAUCUAACACAUAAGCACAUGCACUCAGACAUUCAUACAAGUUGCAGGAAGAUAGAACAUUAGGAAAUAAUGAGUUUGAGAGAAUGAAAAUAUGAAACCCCAAUCCAACGAUCUUGUGAUCAUGAUUACUAUCAUGGGUUUACAUGUGAUGAUCACGCUGUGCAUCUCUUUGACCAUCAAUCUGGAUUACUUGCCCUAAAUUUGACAUGCUCUUUUCCGAAUUGAAAUUAUCAGUAAUUGUUCUAAUGGUGUUAAUGUUGAAAGCUGUUCUGUGAAAGAGUUGGUUGGUUAGCUCGUUGAUUUACCAUUUCUACAGGAAAGAAACAUCCUGUUUCUUUCCUGUGGAAUUUGGCUCCUCAUGUUUCAACCAUGCUCCCGAUCGAAUCUUUAAUAUGUGUGGUUUGGGUCUGAAAUGCUAAAACACAAUAUUUAAAAAUCUGCCAAAUAUCUGUGCAGUCCAAACUGGCGAUUACUGCUACUAUACUAUUGUGCUGAAUGAUUCAUAAAUUCAUGUACCAUGAUAUUUACACGUUACACCAAGGCACUUCCAAACAUCCCUUCUUGAUGCCUUAUGGUACUUUAUUGUUAUUGUUUACAAUCGAAUUUCAAUUAUAUAGAAUAUUUUGAUGAUGGUUUAUGUAAAAAAAAAAAAGAAAAAAAAGAAUAGCUGUUCUUGAAUCUAUUAUGAGGGUUCUAAAAUUAUAAGCAAGAGACCAUUUUGGGUUCUCCUCACUGAAAAAAUGGAGCCGUAGUGCCGAUGACUUUCAGACGCAUCAUGCAAACAACUCCCCGAACAUCUGUACACGCCUCCUUGUCUUUGAUAAUUCCUCUUUGUUACCUGAUGCAUGAUUUUAGAAGAUGAAAAGAGACGAGGCAACAUCAAAACACAAACAGCAAAGUUUUUGACAAUGAAAAGGGAGGGGGAAGACAUAACAAAGAUUGCUUAGGUCUUCUGCGCAUUGCACAACCAAAAGGGAGAGAAGGAAUGAGAGAGAGAAAGAGAGAGAGAGUGAGAGAAUAAGUCAAGUUUCAUUUUUUCUUUUCUCUCAGAAGUGCGUAUAACAAAGAGAGCGAAAGUCUUUUGAGAUGGGGCAUGCUUGGAUGAGAUAACGACGACUGCCAUUUGUACCCGCAGCUGAUGUGUCAAUAAGAAAAAGAAACUGUGUUAAAAAUACAAUUUACCUGUUUUAAUGUACCACAAUUCUGGUUCUUUUUGUACACACAAUGGAUUAAAGAAAGUCAAAUAACAGCUGAUUCUUAUUUUGCCUUUAAUUCUUACUACACUUAUUCAUCUUACCCCCAGUGUCACCUGUGUCAGUUUCAAAUACUCAUAAUGCUCUGGUUGACUUCGCUCCCCCUUCUCAGGUUUU
Molecule: long non-coding RNA, 2927 nt
Filed under: Carassius auratus (goldfish)
Lineage: Eukaryota; Metazoa; Chordata; Actinopteri; Cypriniformes; Cyprinidae
Description: lncRNA (ENSCARG00000034228.1)
Source: RNAcentral